CGGGGUGUAGCGCAGGCUGGUAGCGCACCUGCAUGGGGCGCAGGAGGUCGUAGGUUCAAAUCCUGCCACCCCGACCA
RNAcentral lists this transfer RNA (77 nucleotides) under Proteobacteria bacterium SW_6_67_9. Its description in RNAcentral is "tRNA-Pro". It matches the Rfam family "tRNA". Rfam says of the family: Transfer RNA (tRNA) molecules are approximately 80 nucleotides in length. Their secondary structure includes four short double-helical elements and three loops (D, anti-codon, and T loops). The record is from RNAcentral. Lineage: Bacteria; Pseudomonadati; Pseudomonadota.